RNAcentral lists this long non-coding RNA (2499 nucleotides) under Homo sapiens (human). Its description in RNAcentral is "HSALNT0168464". Lineage: Eukaryota; Metazoa; Chordata; Mammalia; Primates; Hominidae. The record is from RNAcentral.
GGCGCGCUGAGGCCUCGGCCUCGCGCGGGGCUGGAGGCGGCCUGUGGGCAGCCACCGCCCUCUCCCGGCUUUCUCAGGGCGCCUGGGACACCGGCUUUCUAACAUUUUUACAGCUCAGCGAUUCUCAAGAGUUUUGUUUCUCCAGUGGAAGUAACAGGCUGACUUUGUAGGGACACGCAGCCGUCCAUAUAUGCGUAUAGCAUUCAGAGGUUCUUCCUGUAAGGACCGAUUUGGAAGACUCGUUAAGAAAACAGUGUUCUUUAAGCAAACAUUGGCAAUGGAUUUAAAUGCUCAGAUUUUGAAGAAAUCAACGACUGCAGGUGAAAUGGCUUUGCUAACUUUAAAAUAUAUUAUUAUUCAACAUUGAAACAGGAAAUCCCACAUGAGCACAUGUUAUCAGAUGAUACCGGAAAACAUUAGCGAGGGAAAGAAUCUGAAAGGAGUCCAGUAAAUGCCUAAGGCAGAUAAAUAGAGCUACAAGGUAAGCACUUGGGUGGAGGCUGCUUAAAAUACUCCCUAACAGUGUAUUAGUCAAGCCUUGAAGAAGCAGUUCAGGCUGGUAAAGUUUAGGUUGAGUUAAUACAAAUUAUGAAAAUAUUUGUAUCCUGAAGAAAUUUGUUUUAUGCUGGUAUUGGCGUUUUACCAAAAGGUUCAUUAAGUUCUUAAGAUGAGGUGGGGAGUGAGUUUUGCACAACCAGUGCUGAAAAUACGUAUCUGGCCCAGGCGCGGUGGCUCACGCCUGUAAUCUCAGCACUCUGGGAGGCAAAGGCGGGAGGAUCACUUGAGGCCAGGAGUUCGAGACCAGCCUGGCCAACAUGGUGAAACUCCGUCUCUAUUAAAAAUACAAAAAAAAAAAAAAAAAAAAAAUUAGCCGAACGUGGUGGUGUAAUGGGAUUACAUGCUUGUAAUCCCAGCUACUUGGGAGGCUGAGGCAGGAGAAUCCUUGAACUCGGGAGGCGGAAGUUGCAGUGAGCCAAGGUUGCGCCAUUGCGCUCCAGCCUGGACAACAAGAGCAAAACUCCAUCUCAAAAAAAAAAAAAAAAAUACACACACACACACACACACACACACACACACACACACAUACAUGUAUACACACACAUACGUUUAUACAUACACAAACGUAUAUAUACACAUACGUAUAUAUACAUGUAUACACACACACACGUAUAUAUAUCUGUAAUUGAUUCAUGGAACAGAGAAAAGGUGGCUGUCAUAUGGAGUGGUGGUAACUGGCCAGGCUCUGGGGCUGGGUAGCCUAAGUCCCAGCUCUGCCACCCACAGUGGAAAGUUAUUUAACUUCUUUGUGUUUUAAUUUGCUUAUAUGUCAAAAGGGGAGAACAGUACCUACCUCUUGAGGUUGUUGUGGGAAUUAAUUAAUAUAUGUAAAACACUUUAACAGUGCCCAGUCCCUAGUAAGAGAUGCACAGACACUUAUACUUGUUCUGAGUUGUGGUAGUGGUAUUUAGCAAAAUAAUAGGGCCAGAAAUCAGGAAUUAAGGAGGAGAUCUUAACUGGGCUUCUUUUCCCUCCUGUUUUUGUGGUUUAUAUCCCUGCGGUGCUCCUUGGCAGAUAAAUACGACCUUAAUUUUCUACGUACUACCCCCAGAAUGCUGGAGGCAUCCUCUGUUGUUUUGUGCCCCUUACCAAAUUCUGGCCGUGUCUGCUUCAACUGAGAGCAUAUUAAUAUCAAUAUUUAGGAUGGUGAUUCAUCUACCUGCUGUCUAGGUUUCAAGACACACAAGUUGGACUAGAAUUGUAACUGAGCAGAUAUUCCUAUUUCUGAUUGUCAUCCUAGAAUGCCUGCUGUGACUCUGACAUCAUCAAUUAGCUCAAUACAUGGGCACAGUCGGACCUGCCCCAAAGCCUGUGAUUUGAGAAAACACAAGAAAACCUUCCCCUAGCCUCCAAACCACUUAGGUGUGGGUACCUGAAAUUUCUCAGUUAGAACUUAAUGCCUUUAUCCCUUUGGCUUAAGCCAAAUAAGAAACUUAGUCCUUGUUAAAAUGAAAAUACUCUUGGGAGAUGUAACACAUCAAACUCUGUCAUUCAUUAGACUUCAGGGGGAAUGAAUUUGUUAAAUCCUUUUCUAAAAUGAAGUUUAAUUAGUGAAGACACAGAAAAAUCUAGAAAAUUGGAACCCAGUUGGGAUGGUGUUGAGAAAAGAGAUAAAAAUAAAUCUUUUUUUAACUUUUUAAUAAUAGUCAUUCUGACUGGUGUGAGAUGAUAUCUCAUUGUGGUUUUUAUUUGCAUUUCUCUAAUCAGUGAUAUUGAGCUUUUUUUCAUAUGCUUGUUGGCCACAUAUAUGUUUUCUUUUAAAAAAUGUCUGUUCAUGUCCUUUGUGCACUUUUUAAUGGGGUUGUUUGUGUUUUUUUCUUAUAAAUGUGUUUAAAUUCCUUAUAGAUCCUGGGAUAUUAGACCUUUGUUAGAUGCAUAGUUUGCAAAUAUUUUCUCCCAUUCUGUAGGUUGUCUGUUUACUCUGUACAAUAAACACCGAUG